Molecule: ribosomal RNA, 475 nt
Filed under: uncultured bacterium
Lineage: Bacteria
Description: bacterial SSU rRNA
Rfam family: Bacterial small subunit ribosomal RNA
Source: RNAcentral
GAUCAUGGCUCAGGACGAACGCUGGCGGCGCGCUUAAUACAUGCAAGUCGAACGAGAAGCCAGAGCUUGCUCUGGUGGAAAGUGGCGAACGGGUGAGUAACACGUGAGAAACCUGCCCCAAAGAUUGGGAUAAGCCUUGGAAACGAGGUCUAAUACCAAAUACCUUCUUUUAACACAUGUUAAAAGAAGAAAUGCUCCGGCGCUUUGGGAUGGUCUCGCGAUCUAUCAGCUUGUUGGUGAGGUAACGGCUCACCAAGGCAUCGGCGGAUAGCUGGUCUGAGAGGAUGUCCAGCCACAUUGGAACUGAGACACGGUCCAAACUCCUACGGGAGGCAGCAGUAGGGGAAUCUUGCACAAUGAGGGAAACCUUGAUGCAGCGACGCCGCGUGCGGGACGAAGGCCCUAGGGUUGUAAACCGCUUUCAGUAGGGACGAAAGUGACGGUACCUACAGAAGAAGCCCCGGCCAACUAUGUG